Long non-coding RNA from Hyaena hyaena (striped hyena), 614 nucleotides. RefSeq lists it as uncharacterized. Lineage: Eukaryota; Metazoa; Chordata; Mammalia; Carnivora; Hyaenidae. The record is from RefSeq and is a predicted model, not a curated record. The transcript has 4 exons.
CUCAGAGUUUCUCUCAGCGCCGAGCUUUUGCCCCAGGCAGCGCCAUUCCAGUCAUUUCCUGUUAGGCCUUUUGGCCCCUGCAGUUAGCAGCUUUCUUGGGGAAUACCUGUCAAGUCAAGAUGGCAGAAGUCCUAGCUAACUGCUUGAACCUACUUUCAUCGGUGUCAUCGUGAAGAGAUCAUCGUGAAGAGGUUGUUAUCUCCUCAGCGAGCUAUGCUAUAUAAGCAAGAAGAGCAUUCUUUUCUGGGAACACAACAUAUUUCAUUCAUCUAUUACCUCUUAACUUCUAAUAGUCAAAAUAUCACACCACCAAAGAUAUGGAUAGCAAUUUAUUCAUCAACUACCUUUAACUUUGAUAAGGAGUAUUGUAUUUCGUCACAGCUGAGCCCUCACGUAAGAUUUAAUAUGGUCCCACUGGUGUGUACGUCCAUGAUACAGUAGACACUUCAGCGGUUUUCGGGACUUCAGGGUCAACUUUCAACAACCCAAGUAUUUUAUUCUAGAGGCAUGGAAGUUAGAGAAACUAAGUCUACUUAACAGAAUUUAUCUAUCUUUUCAGCAUUCUUGACAAAAUAAUAAUAAUGAUAAUUUGAUGUCCUAUGGCCUAAAAGCAA